ACUAUUUAUGUAUUUGAACCAAGUUUUGAGUCAAAUAUGAUAUUUAUUACAACAUAUAGAGUAAAAAAAGCAAAUAGACAAUGUUCAACCUACAAUAAAAAUCACUAACAGAAGGAGAUGGCAACGGCGUGAGAUGAUGGCGAUGGCGGUUGUGCAAGAUGCGACGGCGACAAUUUCAGAUCGAGAGGCGACCAGUGUUAGAUCGUGAGCUAACGAUAUCAGAUAAAGAGAUAACAAAAGAAGAAAUCUUUAAAGAUAGAAGAAAAUGAAGAGAGAAGAACAGAUAGAAGGAUUCUGUUUUGAAUAGAAAAAGAAUAGAAAAAGAAAGAUAACUACGAAAAAGUUUUCAUUUUGAUUAAACCUAAAUUUAAUUCUGAUAGAAAAAUAACUAUUACAAAAUUAAA
This 404-nucleotide long non-coding RNA is filed under the name Vigna radiata. RNAcentral's name for it is "long non-coding RNA (VRAD_LNC018253)". The record is from RNAcentral. Lineage: Eukaryota; Viridiplantae; Streptophyta; Magnoliopsida; Fabales; Fabaceae.